This is a non-coding RNA of Podarcis lilfordi (Lilford's wall lizard), 73 nucleotides long. NCBI's taxonomy places the organism in Eukaryota, Metazoa, Chordata, Lepidosauria, Squamata, Lacertidae. The record is from the annotation of a GenBank genome assembly.
AGCCAGUGUGGUGUAGUGGUUAGAGUGUUGGACUAGGAUCCGGGAGACCAGGGUUCAAAUCCCUGCUUGGCCA